AAAACUUGUAAAACCACUUGCUAAAAACACACAACACAGAAAAAGAAGACACACAAAGCAACAAACAAGGCAACUACGAAAAAGAUCCCUCUGCCAUACAAAGUUGGCUACACUGUUCAAGAAUUAAAAAAAAAUAAAAACAAUUUAUAUUCGGACCUAGCGUUGGAGAGGAAACCCAUUCGCUGGGUCGAUGAAGGUAACCUUUUCUGCCUGGAGGGGGAGAGAAAAA
This 229-nucleotide unclassified non-coding RNA is filed under the name Hevea brasiliensis (rubber tree). The record is from RNAcentral. Lineage: Eukaryota; Viridiplantae; Streptophyta; Magnoliopsida; Malpighiales; Euphorbiaceae.